CCUACGGGAGGCAGCAGUGGGGAAUAUUGCACAAUGGGCGAAACUCUGAUGCAGCGACGCCGCGUGCGUGAAGACGUCUUUCUUUGUUUUAAGCUCUAUCUGUACGGAGGUAAAUCACAGUACCUGAGUUCUACUCCCCGUCUAACUCGAUUCCAGAAGCCGCGGUAAUACGGAGGGAGCAGGCGUUAUCCGGAUUUACUGGGCGUAAAGGGGGCGUAUACGGCGGGGCAAGUCUGGAGUGAAAGGCGGGGGCUCAACCCCCGAACUGCUCUGGAAACUGUAGGGCUGGAGUGUAGGCGAGGUAAGUGGAAUGCAUGGUGUAGCGGUGAAAUGCGUAGAUAUUAGGCAGAACACCGGUGGCGAAGGCAGCUUACUGGACUGUAACUGACGUUGAGGCUCGAAAGCGUGGGGAGCAAACAGGAUUAGAUACCCGGGUAGUC
This 440-nucleotide ribosomal RNA is filed under the name uncultured bacterium. RNAcentral's name for it is "partial 16S ribosomal RNA". It matches the Rfam family "Bacterial small subunit ribosomal RNA", at positions 338 to 795 of the family's 1533-position model. The record is from RNAcentral.